Molecule: long non-coding RNA, 3084 nt
Organism: Triticum dicoccoides
Lineage: Eukaryota; Viridiplantae; Streptophyta; Magnoliopsida; Poales; Poaceae
Exons: 5
Source: RefSeq, a predicted model, not a curated record
UAGCACAUUGAUUGUAUUAGUUGUAUAGCUCGCUUUGGUGUUAGCCAGACCGAUUUUUGAAAAUAUUUUUUGGCUGGUUCACACAGGUUAUAGAAGUCAAAGUUUAAGACUGUACAGGAAGAGAUUUAUUCAUGCAUAAUUUCUAACUCUCGUCUUCUGAGGAUAAAUGGAACUUCUAUCUAGCCUCUAUCUUAAAAACUAUUAGACCUUAUCAACAUAGCAACAUGCAAAGUUUCAAUUGAAAUGUGGACAAGGUAUUUUAAGUAUUCAGGGGAACCUGUGACAUAUCUUACAUGUCUUUCCAUGUGAUUCACAUGACAAGUGCAGGCAAAUGUGCAGAUUAAUCAUUCUUAAAUUUUGAGAAGUAUUUUCCACUGCAGCUGGAUAAGGGUGCCGUGCCAUUGCUUUUUUCUGAUAGCCAUGUUCUCCCCCACUGCAACCAUCAGUGGGCAUAGUAGUACAAGGUUUGGUCUCCAUGGCAACACACGGGCACUUUCCUGACACAUAUUUGAAUUAAAAUUGACGAAAGCUCACUCACAUUUUUGGGCCAUCUCCCUAUAAAUUAUGCCCCCGUUGCAACACAUGGGCAAUUACCUAGUAGGAUACAAAGUACAUGUUCUUAUGUGUUGUUUCAAAUUUUAACAGUAGAGGUUGUCUUGUAGAGUAUCCGGUGAAGCUAUAUUGCAUUGAAGUUGUAUCCCAUAUAAUACCAGCGAUGAGAUCAUAAAUAAAUCCUCUCAUUAGGGAUGCAGUAACAGGACACUUUGGGUUGUAGAAUAGCAGGUGAAGAUAUAAUGCACUGAACUUAUAUGACAUAUAAUUAUUACAUCCAUCAAUAGGGAAACAUGGUGCGCUCUCUCGCGUAUGACACGUCGGAUUGUUUACUGUGCCGAUUGGAAACACUGUUUUCUUAUUGCGAGAAACACUCCCUUCACGAAAAUAGCGAUUGAGAAAAGAGGAAACUUCCUCACGAAGGCACUGAUUCCUGUUUCUCCCACGCCGCCUCGACGACCAUGGAGGCGACUCGGCGCUCCCACCAUCCAGAUCGAACCAACUGGGAGGAGUAGAACCACCACCGCCUUCUUGCUGCUCGUCUCCACUGCGCCUCGUCUGUGCUGCGUGGUGACCGAGAUGCGGCCUCCCCGUGCUGUCAGUUCCCAUGCACUCUCUCCCAAGCCUCUCUCUCGAUCUGAGAGGAAAUCAGCCUCUGACUCUGCCUCGACCACCUCCUCCCUCAUCUCAAUCACUUCUAGCCACAUAGAGGGACGACCCAAGGGGAAGUAGGGGUCAUCGCCGAAGAAGUCAGGGAGGAGCGUAUGCUAGCUAGGGAGGCGGCUCGGACCAGAUCGACCAUGGCGAUGGUAUCGCUGACUCCCUACUGGCCUUGCAGUUUUGCAAUUUAGGUAUCAAAUGAAUUAGGUAUUAUCAGCAUGAAUACUAUUUACACAGUUUGUUCUUUUGUUUAGUUUGACCGUCUUUGAAGUAAUUGACAUGUAUAGUGCUGCAAAAUGAAUCUGUAAUGUUUAAAUCGACUUUAAAAACCUGCCAGGUUGGAUAUAUCUUUGUCGGAUAUUUUUAUACCAUUGUUUUUCUUCUGUUCAUUUGUUGGGUUGGGCCAAGAUCAGUGGGUAUUUGUCUUGCUACCGACUGUAGAUGUGAUCACUAGUUCUCAUUGACUGUAGUUGUAGUUUUAGAAGUAGGAUGGCUAGCAGUCAUCAUAUAUUGGCUAAGUUGCAUUUGUGUUGGGUACAACAAGAUGAAGAGCAAGAGAAUCGCGAUGAAAAGCAUCAUGCUGAUUCUGAUGUGGAAAUAGAUGAUGCCAAGCCUUUGGAGGAAUCUGAAAGGAGAAGCAAUACUCAGAGUGCGAGAGUUAAGCAGUAUUGGAUAGAUCACAUUUCAGGGAUAACAUGGAUUUAUUUUGCUCUUCCUACUUUUGUUAGAUAGGCCACAUUAUUUUUCUUUCACUCAUGCCUUUGUUGGUGACGGUGCUGUUGUGUAAAUUCAACAUUGAUGUUUAGUGGUAUGACAUGGUUUACACAAGCUGAAAUUUUGAUCCCUUGGGAUGUUGCAGGUGCUGACAAUCUAAUGCCAACGGAACUGGCCCUUAAAAUUGCAACCAAGAUGAGUUACUUGCUGAGAUUCAGAAAUUAGUUCCCUUCCUGCAAGUUCUUCCAUUUUGUAACCCGACUUUUAAACCAAGAGUUUGGUAAUGCAAGAAGACGCAUGUCUUCAAUAGUGGACGUAAUGCACCAAAGGAAAUACAGUAUAUAAUGUUUGGAUUGACAGGUGGCGAACAGGUUCACACGGCACCGGCUGAACCACCGAUCCAUGACGGCCUCCGCGUUUGCAUGCCUGCUAGCCGCCGAGGUGGAGGACCAUGCAGAAGCUGGUGAGUUUGAUGAACCAGCAGCCGAAGGCGCAUUCAUCAUAUGGAAUGUUUCAAUACUUUGUUAAGGUUGUUCCCACUGUAUUCUCAUUCCUCUCCAAUUAUGGGCCCGUUCUGCAAUGCUCCAGCUCCAAGCUUCCUCAACUUCACAAAUGAAGCUGAGGCGAACGCUCUGGCUCCUGGAAGCUGGAAUUGAGAAGCUAGCGAUCUGUCUUAGUGUAAAAAAGGAGAAGAUGGGGAAGCAGCUCUUUUCCAGAUCCGUGAAAGGAAGAAGUUGGAGUUGAGGGCAAAUUACGCUGGGUUGCCACCGCCAAGUGACUCUCAGCGUACUAGUUCAAGUUUCUUUGCCGAACUCCCUCUCGCAUGCGUUGGCAAUUUGUAUUGGGCCCCAACCUGGCCUGCCAAUCCCGUCAAAUGGGCUGGCAGCCUCGUGCGUAUCGACCGAAAGCGGAAGCUGAGUUGCCGAACGCUUUCCAAGUCGCCACCAGAAGCGAGAAGUCGUGCGAGAAGCUGAAUUUAGGAAGUUUUGGAGAAGCUAGGCCUGUUUCAGAACAGGCCCUAUGUUGUGGCUGUCCCUUGUGUGCACAAGCAUACCCAUGUGUGUAGACGAACAUAUAUUUGUGUGAUUUGAACAAUUUUCAAGAUGUUAUUUUAUGAUAUAACAUUUCAGAAGUAAUGAGAGUGUUUGGUUCGCUCUU